Molecule: ribosomal RNA, 467 nt
Filed under: uncultured bacterium
Lineage: Bacteria
Description: partial 16S ribosomal RNA
Rfam family: Bacterial small subunit ribosomal RNA
Source: RNAcentral
ACGCACGCUGGCGGCGUGCUUCACCCCUGCCAGUCGAACGGAAAGGCCCUGCUUUUGUGGGGUGCUCGAGUGGCGAACGGGUGAGUAACACGUGAGUAACCUGCCCUUGACUUUGGGAUAACUUCAGGAAACUGGGGCUAAUACCGGAUAGGAGCUCCUGCUGCAUGGUGGGGGUUGGAAAGUUUCGGCGGUUGGGGAUGGACUCGCGGCUUAUCAGCUUGUUGGUGGGGUAGUGGCUUACCAAGGCUUUGACGGGUAGCCGGCCUGAGAGGGUGACCGGCCACAUUGGGACUGAGAUACGGCCCAGACUCCUACGGGAGGCAGCAGUGGGGAAUAUUGCACAAUGGGCAGAAGCCUGAUGCAGCAACGCCGCGUGCGGGAUGACGGCCUUCGGGUUGUAAACCGCUUUCGCCUGUGACGAAGCGUGAGUGACGGUAAUGGGUAAAGAAGCACCGGCUAACUACGUG